Molecule: ribosomal RNA, 253 nt
Filed under: uncultured bacterium
Lineage: Bacteria
Description: partial 16S ribosomal RNA
Rfam family: Bacterial small subunit ribosomal RNA
Source: RNAcentral
UACGUAGGGGGCAAGCGUUAUCCGGAUUUACUGGGUGUAAAGGGAGCGUAGACGGCAGGGCAAGUCUGAUGUGAAAGGUCGGGGCCCAACCCCGGGACUGCAUUGGAAACUGUCCGGCUGGAGUACAGGAGAGGUAAGUGGAAUUCCUAGUGUAGCGGUGAAAUGCGUAGAUAUUAGGAGGAACACCAGUGGCGAAGGCGGCUUACUGGACUGUAACUGACGUUGAGGCUCGAAAGCGUGGGGAGCAAACAGG